Molecule: self-splicing intron, 211 nt
Filed under: Candidatus Collierbacteria bacterium GW2011_GWD2_42_50
Lineage: Bacteria; Candidatus Collieribacteriota
Also listed under: 1 other name
Rfam family: Bacterial large subunit ribosomal RNA
Source: RNAcentral
ACGCUUUGAUUUAUCAAAGUGUUUCGGGAACUUGGGGAACUGAAAUAUCUAAGUACCCAAAGGAAAAGAAAUCGAAUGAGAACCCCUUAGUAAGCGACGAGCGAACAGGGGCGAGUCUAAACCACGAAUUUAUUCGUGGGGUUGCAGGGCCAGACACAACUUAGUUUUUUCGAUAGAAGAACAAUUUGGAAUAGUUGACCAUAGGGGGUGA